Molecule: RNA transcript, 17392 nt
Organism: Topomyia yanbarensis
Lineage: Eukaryota; Metazoa; Arthropoda; Insecta; Diptera; Culicidae
Gene name: zinc finger BED domain-containing protein 6-like
Exons: 8
Source: RefSeq, a predicted model, not a curated record
CAAUCCGGAUUCAAUACGAUCCUUGGAAUCGGGUCUGUUUUGAAAGUGUUGCUUAUCAUAAGGUGUGUAUCAGUGAAUAUUUUGGCUACAAUCGCCGCUUUCGUUGGAUGCGUUUUUCUUCGAGGCUGUUUUUAAUUGUUCAGAUCGCAGUUUUUUAAUUCUCACAACUUUCUUCUCUUACGUGGAAAUUGAAAAGGAAAAGAUCAAGCCGUUCGUAUGUACAUAGCAUAUUAAUGACCUGUAGUCCGUUUACAAGGAAACUUGACAGUCGAACAAAUCGAAAUGAUUCCAGUUGUGGACCAAACUGGUAGCUAUCAAUGGCGAUGAAACAGUUUGCACAAGUGAAACAGUCAAAUCUACCUACAGCCGAUUGGUGCCUAUCGCACAAUCAGUCCAUAUCGUAUCAGUGCACAAACAAUAUUGUAUUGUUGCGGAGUGAAAUGAGUUUGCCAAAUGAAACAAAAGUGCCCGUGCUACGGGAUAACACGAUUUCGAUCAACUUUAAUAAAACUCAUGUUAGACCCACAGUUCAGGAAGUGGAGCAAUUAGUAAAAGUGAAAAUGGAGCUUAAUCUCGCUGAAGUUGCGUACAUUCAGCUGCAUCACGUUUAAAACUGUGUUUCGAUCACGUUUAGAAGCUUAGCACAGGCCGAAAACUUAAUUGCAAAGAACAACAUGCAACACGAGGUCAAAUUUAAUAACACCAGAAUAAAGAUCCCCGUGCAUAUGGAAAACGGCAUGGUGGACGUGCGUAUCCAUCAUUUGUCCCCGCGCACUAAGAAAGAUGACAUCAAACAAAUCAUGUCGCAAUAUGGAGAAGUAGAAUCUAUUACGAAUGACACCUGGAGAAUUUUUUUCACCGGCAUUCCAAACGCCGUUCGUAUUAUGAGGAUGCGAGUGACUAAACCAAUACCUUCUUACAUGACUAUCGAAUGCAAAUCACCGAGGGACGGCGUAACCUAUAAGCAAACAACGGUAAUCGCAUAUCCAUGGUAGACCCCAAUAUGCUAAUUCUGUAACCAUACAGCCCACUACAGAAAAACAUGCGCCGAAGCAACUAGUCAAAACUCAUCUACUACAGCCAACUCUAACAAGCAGCUACCGACACCUUCAGAUAAACCAAAAACAACGAUCCAAUUAACCAAUAAUGCAUGUACAACGACCACGACAACCGCUCCCAAACCAACAACUAACAUCGCCAAUAAAGAAGAAAAUACCGAUGAAGACGGAUUUACAACAGCGAGCCGCAAGAACAAGAAACAAAUAAGAACCUAUGAUCGUGAACAGCAAGAAAGCUGUACCGAUGAUGACAUGGACGGGAACGAUAACGCGAGAGAAGGCAGACUGAAUGACCCCCAAGCGGCUUCACCGCCAAGGAAAAAGAUCUCAACACGCAGCAGCAAACUGCGUCAACAAGAUCUGAAAGACCGACAUUCUUAGCAUUUUAUUUUUUUAUUUUUACUUAUUGUAAAAAAUUAAAAGACCCGCGGCUUUUAAAACGCACUGGUGAACAUGGUUUAAAAGUUAAGCGAGGGUGAACAAAUCGUUCCCAAGUGCUCACUCUCUAACUGGUGAUUGAGGAACCAAUUCAGGGUCAAUGGAAACAGUACCUAAACCACGAUUAACAUGGCUUCACGCCUGGACGCUGAACGGCGACUAACCUGCUGAAUUUAGCAUCAUACAUAACAGGGAGUAUGGAAGGUCGCGCUCAAACUGAUAUUAUUUACACCAGCCGAUCCGCUGUUUUUUCUUAUAAUAAAUGAUAAAAUGGAGAAAUGUGUAAUCAACGGUAGUUUUUGCAGAUGUUUCGAUCCUUAAUUUCAAAUCGAGAUAUAAUGAUUGUCAUUGGAGAUUGCCAGGUACUUAUUUUUAAAUCAGGAAUAGCGUAGGGAGUUACUUGGGACCGUUUACGUUUCUAGCUUACUUCAAUGACGUGUGUUAAGUGCUGAUAACUCCUCGCCUGUCAUGCACAGAUGAUUUCGUUUCAUCCGCUAAAUUCAUAUGAGAAAAGAGCUCGGAGAUCGAAUUCUCAUGAGACUUUUUGGCUGAGCUAUGCCUGCCCGACCCCAGAAAUGUACUACUGCAGUAGCUCUGCCUGCCAGAACCUGGAACUUUUUACCUGUCUAAAAUCUAGGGAGCAGGCACAAUCGAUUAAGAGGUGAUGGGUGUAGGUAGUUCCCUUUGAACUGUCCUGGUUUUUUACUCGCCCUAUGGCUGAUCCAAGUCGAGAUCGCCGAUUCAUGAUAAAUAAAAUAAGAUUUUUAUAAGAGGCUAUUGGGCACAAGAAGUGGUGCCACCGUCAGCUAGUAAAUCGAAAAUAAGCCCAGCAUGGGCGUAUUUCGAUAAAAUUGAGGACAAUAAAGUGCGCUGUAAACUAUGCAAUUUGUCGAUCAGUUACUGCCGGAAUACAACAAAUAUGUUGAACCAUCUAAAAAACAAACAUUAGAGUCUCAGUCUACACGCAAGAUUAGCGCAUCCAGAUGCAACUACUGCUACAAAUGUCGAUGACGAGGGUGGCAAAGAUGGUGCAAUAGCAUCUGGUACUGAUUCUGACUCGGAAAUUGAAAGAAGCGAUUGUCAAAAGGCUGCUAUCAUUCGCAAACAACAGCUACAGCCAUCCAUAGUGGAAGCUAUAGCCGUCCGUUAGCGUUUGCUGCUGAUGGCCCGAGAGGAAUGCAGGUAACGAAUGCGUUAAUAUAUUAUAUCACCAAGGAUAAUCUGUCACUGAAUGCAGUGGACAAACCUGGAUUUCGACGUUUUAUAAAAACUGUGUGUCCUUUGUACAACUGCCCCCAUGAGACCCAGUUUACCAAGCUGAUACAUAAUAAAUACGAAACUUUGAAAGAAGCCGUCAGAAACCGCCUCCGUUCAACGGGUAGCAUUUGUUUAACAGAUGUAUGGACCCAGAUGAUGAACGUUAAAAGCUACUUGGGAAUAACAGGACAUUUCAUUCAUGACUUCCAGCUUAUGUCUUGUCUGUUGGGAGUUAUCAAGUGCGAUCAAUCGAAAACCGGUGCAUACAUAGCCGACUUACUUUUGGAUUGCUGUAAUGAUUGGGACAUCGAGCUUGAUAAUGUAUCAUGCGUUGUAACUGAUAACGGUGCGAACAUAGUGAACGCCGUGAAACUUCAAUUCGGUGAAAAACGUCACCUUCCUUGCUUUGCGCAUACAUUGAAUUUGAUUGCAAGCAAAUCUGUACCCUUGUAUAACGAAGCGUAUGGAGCAUGUCUGGACCCAGUUAUUGAUUCAGAUGAUGAAGAUGUUGACGAAUCAGAUAUCGACGAUGCUAAACAUAAUUCUCCUGAAGAAAACAUGAUUAUUUUUAUAAAAAAAAUGAAGCGAAUAAUUAAAUUUUUCAAGAAAAGUGAAACUGCAAUGAGGGAAUUGCGAAAGCUACAAGUGAUAGAUGGCAAGAAAGAAUGUCAAUGUCUUAUGCUCAUUCUGGACGUCAAAACCCGUUGGAACUCAAUCAUGGCUAUGAUUGAACGGUUCUUACUGAUAGCUGGAUACGUGUCGAGAGUAUUGCUCAUAAUUCCUAAAAGCCCCCCAAUGUUGACUUCCGAUGAAUUGUCUGUUCUUAAAGAAGUGUGCAAAACCCUUAAGCCACUUGAAAAAGUAACAACUGAGAUGUCCGCUGAAAAGUAUGUUACCUGCAGCAAGAUAAUUCCGCUAGUACGAUUACUCAAAAUCAGUUACGGUAUCAUGGAACUGGAAUCAAGGGAAGCCUUCUCAUUGAAACAAAGAAUAUUACAUUUUAUUUCGAAAUAUUUCAAGGAUAUCGAAAAAGUAAGGAUACUGGCAACCGCUACACUCCUUGACCCAAGAUUCAAAAAAAUCCAUUUCGAAAGCGCGCUAUCCGCAUCGUCUGCCGUUUUCUUUGUUGCGGAGCAAAUUAAGGAUUUGGCAAACGAAGCGGCUUCAAUAUCCAGUGAUGUUGAAAAAAAUCCCGCACGAAAUGAAUCAUUGGACGACCUAUGGUCAAUACACGAUUCAUUAGUAACGGAAGUGAAUCGUGCACAUAUUCCGGAUAGUGCUGGCGGGAUUCCGGUGGAAUUACGACAGUACCUUAAUACUCCGUUAGUGCCGAGAACCAGUGACCCGAUGCUGAUUUGGAAAGAUAUGCGAGCACAAUUCCCGAAUCUAUACAAAGUAGAGGUUAAGUACUUCUGUGUUUCAGCGACCUCAGUUCCCUCUGAAGGUUUUUUUUUGAAAGCUGGUCAAGUAUUGACCAAAACGAGAAAUCGAUUGUCAGGACCAAAUUUGGACAAAAUUCUUUUCUUAAAUUCAGUAGAUGAUACAAUGUGGUUUACCUAAACCAAUAUGACUUUAUGUACAAUUAUUAGAUUGUACGCUAGCUGCGCGAAAUGAAUAAUGAAAUUCGAAAAAGUUCUGAAAUGAGAAAUCAACUAAUUAUUUUAUUAUAAAAACGAAUAUUUUGUUCUAAUAACUAUACAGGUCGGACUCGAUUAUCCGGGGAUUCGAUUAUCCGGGGAUUCGAUUAUCCGUGAUUCGAUUAUCCGGGGAAAAUGAUUCGAUUAUCCGGGUGUUUUGAAAAAAUCAAAUUUCAACUAUAAUGUCUUAAUAUAGUGCUAAUUCGAUCAUUGCAGUCAAUAGAACGUUUUUUUCGGGCAAUUGGGGGGUCUAGGGUUAACCUCCUCUCAAAUUUUAACCUACCUCAAAAAUAGCUUAUAUAUGGGUUAUUCCGCGCAAAGUGACCAAAAAACAAAACUUGGAAUCGACCAUCAUGGAUUGGAACCAGUUUUGAAGAAACUGUUCAUUUAGAGAUAAUAUAUAAUAACCUAAAUUGUUGUGUCGUUUAAACAGCCCCUCAGUCCGUGGGAAUACUUUUAACCGUUAUGUGUCCGACGCGGAUACCUUCUUAGGUUACAAAUAAUGAAAUUUCGAUGUCUUAUCCGUAGCUGCAAAUUGAAACUGUGUGACAUCUUAGAACUUCACUAAGCCAAGCUUUUGGGAUAAUAAUGUUUUUGAUAUAGUAAGAAGGGAGUGAGGAGGGGAUCCUGAAUUUUUUACUAUGUCACAGGCCGACGUGGAUACCCGGGUACCCCCAAAACUGAAAUGCCAAUAACUAAGGUAAUUUUCAACUGAUUUUGAUGCUUUUGGGUGUUUUGGAUUCAAGAACUCAUCCACUUUUAGACUUGGUAAAAAUGAAUCGGGUUAUUCCAACCGGUUCCCGGGAAUCCGGAUUUCCGGAAGCAUGUUCCAGUGCUUGGAUACUAUUUGUGAAUUUCAAUGGAAUACUAGCAAUAUGGGUAUCAGAAUUCUUGGCAUAGCAUCAAUAGGCUGUACCUCGUGGUAUUGGAACCAUUUGGUGAUUUCACCCCGAAAUAGACAUUCCGGAGCAGGCUCCCGUAGGGCCGUGAAUGGCCAUUCCAUUCCAAUUCCAUUUUUCAAACUACCAUAGGAUCCCGCAACAAUAAAUAACAGACUUCCGAGACAAUUUAAAGAGUUUUGAUACUCAUUUUGCUAGGGCAUUAUUUAAAUUUACAAAUCAUACCCUAGUACUGGAAAAUCCGGAUUACCAAGAACCAGAUGCAUUUAUUGGAUUCAAUGUUACAGAAUCCAAAAGUGGACGAGUUCCUGAAUCUAAAACAUCUAAAAGUGUCAAAAUCGGUUAAAGGAAGCCAUAGUUAUGAGCAUUUUAAUUUGUGGGUACCCUGGUAUCCUCGUUGGCCUGUUAUAGGUGUUUUUGACACAUAACGGUUAAUUUCAACAAAUUGUUUAAAAAAAUGUUUUUCUUCGGAUUAUAUCUCUGGUACUGUUUGCACUAGAAUCAAUCAGCGAGAUAUUUUUUUUAAGAUUUGUUUAGGGAUUCCAAAAAAAAUAAAAGUUUUUAAUGCCAAUAUUGCCAAAUAUGCAACUUUUAAUUUUACACUAAAAGUACAUUUUUCUCGUAAUACAUCGGUUACUGUAGGCCACAUAAAACGUCAUUAUACCUACAUUGCUCGGUCGGUUUCUGGCUAUCUCUUGGGAUAAUGAUGACAUGCUUCUCAGGAUUCUGUUUGGGAUACUUUUCAAGAUUCUGAUCGAAGUUUUCUUAGCAUCCCAAUGGAAUCUAUUUCAGAACUUCGAUUCAAUAUUUAUUCGUAUUUCUACGGUUUUUUCUCUAAAUUUUGAUGCAGGGUUCUAGAGAAAAGCUUCUUAAAUGUCUAGUGGAAUCUUUCUCAAGAUAUAAUUCCGCUGAAGAUUAUGCUUUAUUCCAGAUACUGACAGAAUCAUGGUCCUAUUAUCAUUGGAAUCCGGUGUAAUGUUCUGAUGAAUAUCCUGCUUUGAGUUCCAGUGGACUUGCUCUUCUCCCAUUAUCCCCUUCAAUAAGUGAUUUCUGCUCAGAAUUCCAAUAGAAUCUUUAACCCGUUCGUGCCCUUCUGGUUGAUGAACAACCAUGACUAUAACUUUUGGUUCACACAAUGUCAAGUAAGGCUAAUAACUGCGACUAAGAUCUUUCAUUUGAGCACUAAAAGUAAUAAAUAUUAGCAUUAGAACAGAAGUUAUUACAAUUAAUCUGAUUUGGUUCCGCUGAAGCAGUGCUGCCAGGCAUAGUUUCUGUUAAUGGUGAAAUGAAAUUUUGGAAUAUUUUCUUAGCCUGGGAAUAUUAUUGAAAACUGCUAAAACUUUCUAAUUUAGAUUGCCCUCAAUUACCUUUUUUAUGCAAUUGCACUAGAUCGGAAGGUAAAUAUUGAGCAGCUGCAAAAGAAGCACCUAUCUUUCUUAAAUCAGGUUUUUCGUGUUUCUUGACGCCAACAGUUUUAAUGAAAAAUAGUUUUGGGACCCUAUAUGCGGUAGAAAAAAGUUGGUCAAGAAACGUCACUGGAGGUGAUUUCAAUUCUAGGGUAGCUCAAGCAAAGAUGGAUGAUAGGCUAUGUAAAGAGGGCGCCAGCAAUACUUCUCGCUGAGGCGCCCGGGAACCUGGUAGUCCUUCGCUAGUGACAAGUAUGAGUGGGACAGUUUGCGAAGACUACACGCGUAGUUAUUACCUGACAAUCCAGUAUUGGUCAACUAAAUGAUGCUACAAGGACAAGGACAAAGACCUCUUUGUGGGUGCGCAACACGCACUCUUCUAAUUAGAAUGACUAGAUAUGUUAGCUGUGCUAUGUGACACUCCACGUAAAUUAAACUGGAGCCAAAAAACAGACGACCCCCAGUUUACUUACUAACUUUAUUUUUUCUGGUAUUCGAGUAAUCGAAUCAGUUACUUCGGAAAUUCUAAGCCCUGGGUAAUCGAGUUUGACUUGUAUUGCAAAAGACACACCUUAUUAAAAAGUUUAUCUUAGUAUUCUUGUACAAAUAGCUAUAAACAACUGAUACAUAUCGUAAACUCGUUACCAAUAUGAAUAAUAAAUGAAAACCAACUGAAAAUGCAAAUCACACCCUGAAAGUCUGAAAAUCGACUAGGGCCAAAAUAGGUACAUUUACCAUAAUUAGAAAAUUUGCCCUGGUCAUUUUAUUUCCAAUUUUUCCACGAAUGAAGCUUAAAUUCAUGAAAUAACGCAAAAAAAGUUUGAUUCGAUUAUCCGGGUGAUUCGAUUAUCCGGGGUGAGAUUUUUUUCAAAUCCCCGGAUAAUCGAGUCCGACCUGUAUUACUCUUUUCAGAACUUUUUCGAAUUUCCUUAUACAUUGGGAUUCAAAUACAGUUCUUUAAAAACACGCGCUUUGCAUCCAAUAUUUAUUAAUUUAAUCAUCUAGAUAAUCGAAUAAUCGAUUAAUUUGGAACGAUUAAUCGAGCUAAUCGAUCACCGCAGAAAAAUUAAUCGAUUGAUUAAUCGAUUAAUUUAAAAAAUCGGACAUCCCUAUCUGGCAUCGCUGGUUGCAUGUCGCAUGCAAAGAGAAUAGGGAAAGAGACGAAUAGUGUGAAGCCAAAAAUACCUUAUUAAGCAGAUCAAUCGUGCAAUGUAAAUAAACAUUACUCAUGCCUAAGUUGGAGGAGAUAAGUAUUGUACAUGUAUUUAAAAAGAAAUUUCAAUUUUCGUCAGAAUUUGGUUCAAUCGUGAUUGUGAGGUGCAUUCUAGAGUAUAUGUAUGAGUAAAAACAAGCUUUAGAAUUAUUUCAUCUCUUUGUUUCGAAAUGCGCAUCGUUUGAUAAACAAAUCCAACGAUCGACAUACGGUUUGUUUUCAAAAUAUAAUAGGAGUCCAGCCCCGUGAAAACUGAUUGUUGCCUGAAGCUGCCACCAAGUGCCAGUAGCGCUAGCUACGUUUCAAAUGUUCAAGGUCUGUUCACAUGAACUGUAUAACACUGUUUAAAAGUUGGAUUCAAAACAAGUAAUUAAUAACAAUAUAUGAGAAAUCACGCUUUCUCUUGCAUCGCUUCUUCUCCACAAAAUCCGAACGCUUUUAUCACCUGAGUACCAGUUAAGCACGUCGAAAUGUAGUUUGUUUGCAUUCGAUAAGUUUCAGGUCGCGUUAACAACAUUGGCUCGUAGCGAUAUGAACGUUGCUUAAAGCGCGUUCGCUGUCAUUUUUGACAACUAACCGAGCCAGAAAGCCAGCUUAUGUUGGCUUCACUCAUUUUUCAAAGAAACGUCAAAACAUUCACCCUCUUGUAGGAGUCAUUUAAAGUGCUGCCUGUGGAAGCGGUUGCCAAAAUUCUAGUGUUGAAAUCAUCAUAAAGGGAGUGUUGCCGUUUUGACUGAUUUUCACUCUUCGACUCUUUCCCUAUUCUCUUUGGUCGCAUGCAUUAAUGUUAUACACGGAAACAAAAAACUACCUAAAAUUGAGUUCCUUUGACUCAAUCUCGUGGUAUCGUGGGGGAACUUAAAAUUAGGUAAACCGUGUUGAAGGUAGUUUCCAUUUAACCACGGCAAAAAUUACAACUCAUUGAUAGGUUUUUUAUACUCAAAUUUAAGUUGAAUUUACCUAAUUUUGAGUUCACCCCAAACAACUCAAAUGUAACUUCCCCCACGGAAGGUCUCGACUGAGUCGAACCUCUCGUUUUGUUUUUGACAACACUAAUAAGUGCGAAAGCGACGCACAACUCAAAAGUAAGUUAAAAGAACUUUUCUGCAGGUUGUUUUAUUUAACCGUGUAGUCAAAACAACAAAAUGGCGCGCACUGCAAAAUUCCGCACUCACCCAAUCUCAACACGGGCGAAAAUGAAACGCCAAGUAAAACGUCACUGCCAAUCGGGUCAUUCGAACAGAUCGAGCUCUAGUAAAAUCGAGCAUUCGAGUAAGAUUUCAUUCCGCAUUCAGUCUGAAACAAGAGGGUGAAUGUUUUGACGUUUCUUUGAAAAAUGAGUGAAGCCAACAUAAGCUGGCUUUCUGGCUCGGCUAGUUGUCAAAAGCGACAGCGAAUGCGCUUUAAGCAACGUUCACAUUGCUACAAGCCAAUGUUGUUAACUCGCCCUGAAACUUUUCGAAUGCAAACAAACUUCAUUUUGAUGUGCUUAAUUGGUACUCAGGUUAUAAAAACGUUCGGAUUUUGUGGAGAAGAAGCGAUGCAAGAGAAAGCGUGAAUUCUCAUAUAUUGUUACUAAUUACUUGUUUUGAUCCCAAAUUUUAAACAGUUCAUGUGAACAGACCUUAAACAUUUGAAACGUAGCGGAUGCAGGUGUGCACAUUUAUUCAUGUGCGAGAGUGCGGUUGUCAUUUUUCUUUGAUGAAGCCGAAAAAACAAGAGGAUAUGAAGAAGAAAAGCACAAACAGUUUACGUUGCCUCGACGUAGCGGGCCCUUUUGUUGCCAUAAGUUUUGUUUCGGUUCGGUCAUAGUUAAUUCAAUCGGUUUUUUUCGAGGCAAAAAGUGUCCAUAAGUGUUCCACAGAGAACAGACAUCCAUGAUCGAACAAAAAUGUUUAAAAAACGUGUGUAAACAUUUGAAUUAAUAUACGAUAAACACUAGCGCCGCCACACCAACCUAUCCCAACUAUCCGUCAAAUCCAUUCCAGUACCGGUUCGAAAUCCUAAAUGGAUUCAGUAUGGAAUCUUGCUCAAAGAAAACAACCGAUUCCGACUCUAUCGGUUGAUGCAUUUGAGCUGGAAUUCAUGCUGGAAGUCCGAAUCGGUUCCGGACUAGUUUGGGUAGAGGAAUAACCGCUGUCAAUUCUGUCGAACUCAGCCACAAAAACACAUGACAACAGUAGCGCACCUGGUUUGGAUAUCCCAACUACCUUCGAAACCGUUAGAGAUUUUACACAAGUUGAAUGCUGAAGAUGGACGUCUGUUCUCUGUGAGUGUUCUAAUCGAUAGAUCCGAAAUGAAGCUCGGCCUUUUCCCACUUUUCAUCGUGCGCCAAAACAUCAGGAUGCUCGUUCGGAUGUUGAUAUUGACUUCAAGGGCCCGGCCGCCAUGCUUAAUUUUGCAAGUAUAAUACUAAUACACUCAAAAGUGUCAAAUGUUCCAACCUUUCUCUCCAUCUUGAGUUGUCUCGUCUUUUGUCUUAGAUCUAGUGAUGUCUGAUUUUUGCAAAUAAUCGAUUAUACGUUAAUCGAAUCUCAAGUACUUUUUCAAAUAGACGUAUGUAACAUUUGGUAGAAACUAGAAAAACUUUAGAAAGAGAACUGCGGAGACUCCAUUUUGGAUCGAUUGGAUUCGCGUUUAGAUGUCAAAAAACGAAUCCAAUCGAGCAUUUCCUAUCCUUAUAACAUUGGACGUGUUGCCAUACAAUGCCGGGGCAUACGUUGCCAAAAAUGCUGUUUUUCUUUCCGCAGUUCUUUUACUAGAGUUUUUCUAGUAGAAACCGAGAGAAACGGGUUUGAAGUUUCUAGCGGUAAUUUUGAAUCCCAUUUCAAAAAUACUGGAGAAAUUCCAUCAUCGCUUUUAUAUAUAACACUGUUUUCCCCACAUUUUUAUGUAACGUAACAUUUCUACACGUUUGAUGCGUGUAUCAUGUUAAAACUGAGAAAAAAUUUGAUGCGUCUUUUCGAUUUCUUGACUGUGACAUACACCGUCAUAAUCGCCGUCUUGAAAUUUAUGAUGUUAGAUACGUCAAGCCAGAUUAGACUGUUUCUUUGAGCGUUACAACCUAGGUUACAACUAUUGAAUUUGAUUGAAUGAGCAAUUCUUGAUUACUUUUUCAAAUUGACAUAUGUGACUUUUGGUAGAAACCGAGAGAAACGGAAAACAUUACUUUCAUGCGGAAAUUUGUGUCCUAUUUAAAAACUACUGAUAAAAUUCCAACAUCGAUUUCACACUCACAAUUCAUUUUCACACAAUUUUAUGUGACGUAAUCGUUUUAACCUUUUGUUGCAUGUAUUAUGUUGAAAUUGACAAAAACUCAUGAUACGCCAUUUUGAUUUCUUACCUGUAUCAUACACUGUUAGAUUCGUCUUUUUGAUACGUAUGUUAUAUAAUACGUCAGUCGGAUUAGACUGUUUCUACAAUUUGAAAACGGUUACGUCGUUCGGUUUGUACAAUACUUUGAAACUUAAACACCGCUGUGGAGGAAACCGGAGUAGCUGACGGCGCUCAAUAUCAUUUACUUCCGGGCUCAGUAUUACAACUUAUCCUUCAAGAUGGAAUGUCUCAUGUGUUCUUCGAUUGCGUUGGAAUGUUUGUGUUCCUCUUUUGGAGGGCCAUGCAAGGCCUUUAAAAUCGCUUUUUCAACGAAUCCGAAAUUUUUACGGCCAACUAACCUGUUCCGAUCACGUACAAAAACUUUCAAAUCAUCGAUAAAAUAAAUUCUCGGCAGUAGUUUGCUCACCUAUUAUAUAUUCCUCGGCGAACUCAAAUCGGUUUCCGUAAUAUUGGGUUGGAUCCCACCCGUCUCUUUCUCGUACAAGUUAAUCUUGUGUUUCAGUCCGGCGAUAUCCACUUAAUUUUCCGGCACGAUUCGCGAACAGUAGGUCAGCUUAUGAACAAAGUGCUGAUAUUUCACGAUGUUCACGACUGCAGGGUGACCGUGUCACCUGUUCUCGAGGAUACUUCGAGAAAGCAACUGCAUCGAAAGUCCGCGUUAUAUUAUACUCUUACGAACACAGAACUGAGAAAGCAAAACAAAAGCGCACGCGAAAUUUUAGUGACGUAUGUCGACUGGAUUCAAAACCGUUAUUCCAGUAACUUACGUCGCUUUCAUGAACGCGUAUGUGCGCUUUCCGUACAGCUCGUCAAAUUGACAGAUGCGUCGCUUCGUUUUCAAUAUGGUGUAUCCACCAAAGUUGUAAAAAGUGUGAAUUAGGAAGUUUCGUCAUUUUGUAAAAAUAACUUAAAGCACUUUAAAUAAUACAAUAUCAUAUUUAUCUUAAAUUGGUAGGAUUUUUGGGAUAUUUGAAAUCGCUUUGUUUACAUUUUGCGACUUUCGUCCAUUUUAAAAAGUACUCGAGCAUUUUUGAGGGCUGGAUGUUGUUGGCUCGAAUCAAAACUUGUCGAAAGUAAACAAAGUUCAUUUCAUAUCGUCAACCUGGCGCCCAGGUGGUGAAAUCAACGGAGUGCUGGAGCGUUGCCAGAAAAAUUUUAUUUCCAGAUCAAAUUGUACUAAACUUCCCAGUUUAACUCAGCCGAAAUGCUGGCUGGUUCUAAUUCGUAUUCCGGCUCGGGUGACACAACCGAUUCAAGUUAGAAUGUUUAAGGGGUACCAUUUCGAUGCGGCUUAGCCGCAUAACCGAGGCCUAGAGGGCGAGGUGGCCACCGACCCGCCGUCGGAAGCAAGCGAACCUGUGACCCACUCGUUUGCCCGGCUUACUCAAACAUAGGGGCUAUCCCUAGUUUAAGUCCGACUGAGCGGUAGCGAAGUCGGACAGCACGCACAAAAGCGAUGUGGCGUAGCCACAUUGGGUGCUGGACACAAAAUAAAAUUGGCAACGCUAGUAAAAUGUAAACACAAAUGAACACUCCGGAUGAACCUAUCGUCAAUUGACAUUUCGACGAGUUUUGAUUCGAGCCAAUAAUAUGGGCCCAUUUUUGAGAGCUUGAUUCAUUCGAUUAAUCGACCAAGAUAAUCGAUUAAAAUCAAUAAUCGAUUACUUAGGCUGUGAACCAUUUGGCGAUUUAUUUUAACCUUUAGUUAAAAUUUAACAGUUCGAAAGUUAUUUUCUAUAGACUUAUCCAGCUGCGUUAGUAUUGUGCCGUUUUGACGUUUGAAUUGGGAGGAAAACAAAUCGUUUACACGGCGAAUCGGGAGGAAAACAAACCGCUUCUGGGCUUAAGGGGAGGGCGGUAGUAUAAAAAUGCGAAAUCUCAGUGUGAGUAAUUUAAACGUCAGAUAUCUCAAUUGAAUGGAAAAAAUUAGCCGAGAGAGCGAACCAUUUCAAAAGUUGACAUAUGGAGAGUUAUUUAGAAUUGACAGCUGCGAUGACCACAAGUUGGUAGAGGGGUGAACAUUCGAAAAGUAAACAUCCACAUCAUGAAAUAUCCAAACAAAUCUUAACACAACACGUUAUCGUUUCAAUCUUUAUCCCUUAAUUUUGUAUUGAAAAAUAUUGACAACAGAAAAUGGUUAUAAUAGAAAAUAGGUACAGAAAAUGUUUCCACCUUUUUAUUCUGCAUCAUGGGCAAAAUUUUAACCAUCGAGCUGUCAAAUUUAACUAUCGCUCUGUCAAUUUUAACCAUGUUCCAGAGUAGGGUUAUUUUGCAAAUAAUUUUCGAAGUGUCAGAUUUUAACUAAAAGUUAAAAAUUUCACCAAAUGGUUCACAGUAGAAAAACUCUAGAAAGAGAACUGUGGAGACUCCAUUUUGGAUCGAUUGGAUUCGCAAUCGAACAUUGCCUAUCCUUAUAACAUUGGACGUGUUGCCAUACAAUGCCGGGGCAUACGUUCCCAAAAAUGCUGUUUUUCUCUCCGCAGUUCUCUUACUAGAGUUUUUCUAGUUCACAGCAUUAGUAAAUCCUACACUGAAAAAAAUCCAAAUCUAUUUGCUUCAAACCGCUUAAAAUUCAUAUGAAGAAAUGCUAUUGUUAUCACGCGCACACAUACCUUCUAUGUGUCAACUGUAUAAACUAUGUAUGCACACACAAAAGUUAUAUAUGCAUAUUGUUAUAGAAUGGGGUUUUAUGUGCCUAAUAGUUAUGAAAUGUAAAUGUAAGAUUAAUAUUUCUUGUAAAUACAUUAGGUUUAUGUUCCAGUAAAUAGUGUCUAUAUGCCUCCGUUAAUUGCAAAAAUCUAUGUGUAAAAUCAAUAGGCAUAACGUUUACUUUUUUUUAGUGUAGUUUGUCAACCAAUAAAAAAAGGUCGCUCGAUACGCUCGACACAUUUUGAAAAAUUUGGAGAAGUCUGGUCAUAUUUUUUUGCUCCGCGACUUUCAUUUUCAAUGCCACCUUUCAUUAAUUAUGCUCUCGAUUAAUUGAUAGCGAUUAUACCGAAAGCUUGUAAUCGAUUAUUGAUUUUUCGAUUAUUUUAGACAUUAACCGAUUAUUUGCGUUAACCUCGUAAAAAAUUUAAAAAAAAAAUCAAAAACGAUGUUAGUUAGAUGGGUAAGAUUGUUGUGACAUCAGGUCAAUCCCUAUUCCCCUUUAAAAAAGCUACGUAGCAUGACAUGACCCCCUACAAAAUUCUUCCCUCCCCCAUAUAAUGCUACGUCAUUUAUGGAUGGUCCCUAAGGUUAAAUUAGGUAAACCGUGUUGAAGGUAGUUUUCCUUUAACCACGGCAAAAACCACAACUCAUUGACAGGCCUUGAAUUAUAAAUGCCUAAAUUUAAGCUGAAUCUGCUUAAUUUUGAGUAUACCUCAAACAACUCAAAAGUACCUUAUUCCAUGGAAGGCCUCGACUGAGUCGAAUCUCUCUCUUUGUUUUUGACAACACUAAUACCCGGUCAAACUAGAAAAACUCUAGAAAGAGAACUGCGGAGACUCCAUUUUGGAUCGAUUGGAUUCGCGUUUAGCUGUCAAAAAACGAAUCCAAUCGAACAUUGCCUAUCCUAAUAACAUUUGACGUGUUGACAUACAACGCCGGGGCAUACGUUCCCAAAAAUGCUGUUUAUCUCUCCGCAGUUCUCUUACUAGAGUUUUUCUAGGUCAAACCAUUCGGAAUUUGAUUCGGAAUCCUGAAUGGAGUCAGUAUGGAUUCCAAAUCACAUGCAACAACCGAUUCUGAGUCGGAAUCGGUUGUUGCAUUUGAUUUGGAAUCCAUAAUGACUCCAUUCAGAAAUCCGAACCGGUUCCGAAAUGAGUUUAACUUCCCGGUCAAACCAUUCGGAAUUUGAUUCGGAAUCCUGAAUGGAGUCAUUAUGGAUUCCAAAUCAAAUGCAACAACCGAUUCUGAGUCGGAAUCGGUUGUUGCAUUUCAUUUGGAAUCCAUAAUGACUCCAUUCAGAAAUCCGAACCGGUUCCGGAAUGAGUUUAACUGGGUUAGAGCACUCUAGUUCCCAGUUAAACUCAUUCCAGAACUGGUUCGGAUUUUUGAAUGGAGUCCCUCUAAGAACGGUUGGUUUCAAAAUCGCCCAAUGAAGGACGUUCAUUGGACCAAUUUGGACAACGUCCAAAUAACCGUUCAACGAACGUCCAUCGUUGGACCCGUGUUGAACGAUUUUGAAACAAUUUUUUGGACGUCUCAGUGGGGUCAUUAUGGAUUCCAAAUCAAAUGCACCAACCGAUUCCGACUCAGAAUCGGUUGUUGCAUUUGAUUUGAAAUCCAUGAUGACUCCAUUCAGGAUUCCGAAUCAAAUUCCGAAUGGUUUGACCGGGUUAGAGUGUGGCCAAGAGGCCAUGACGUAUCCAAACGAACAUGGAAUUUGACGUAAACACAAUAGAAAUACGUCAAAUUUCAUGUUUGUUUGGAUACGUCAUGGCCUCUUGGCCACACUCUAACUAGAGUGCUCUAGUUUAACUGGGUAAGUGCGAAAGCGACGCAAAACUCAAAACUAGAAAAACUCUAGAAAGAGAACUGCGGAGACUCCAUUUUGGAUCGAUUGGAUUCGCGUUUAGCUGUCAAAAAACGAAUCCAAUCGAACAUUCCUUAUAACCUUAUAACAUUGGACGUGUUGCCAUAGAAUGCCGGGGCAUACGUUGCCAAAAAUGCUGUUUUUCUCUCCGCAGUUCUCUUACUAGAGUUUUUCUCAGCCCUCUGUCAAGGACGACGUCUCUGUACAGUCAGCAUCACUGCCAUGAAAGGCAAAACAUUGAUUUUAAACCGAAUGAUUAGAAGCUGUAUUUAGUUACAAAAUGUCGAUAUUCUGAAUGAUAUGAUAUUAAAUCAUCCCACAAGAUGCAAAACGUCGUGUGGAAUGCUUGAAUAUCGAGCAUAGUGCCGAACAUAAUUCUUUGUUUGGGGCUUUAUAGCUAUAACGCCCCAUAUAUGUCGGUCGCUGUCAAACUCCAUAUGAUGGUAUAGGGUUGCCAGGAGACUGGUUUUUCUAGUUUACACUUAGAUCCAAGAUGGGAGAAAGAUGGGAACAUUUGACACUUUUGAGUGUAUUAGUUUAAUACUUGCAAAAUUAAGCAUGGCGGCCGAGGCCCUUGAAGUGAACUAACGAGCAUCCUGAUUCUUUGGUGCACGAUGAAAAGUGAGAAAAGGCCGAGCUUCACCUCAGAUCUACCUAUUAGAACACUUAGGGACACUUUUUACUUCAAAAAAACCGAUUAAAUUAACUAUGACCGAACCGAAAGAAAACAUGGCAACAGAAAGGCCCACUACAUCAUUUGUUUGUGCUUUUCUUCCAGCUCCUGUCAAGGACGACGUCUCUGUACAGCCGGCAUCACUGCCAUGGAAAUCAAAACAAUAAUUUUGAAUCGAAUGAUUAAAAGCUGUAAUUAGUUAUUAAAUGUUGAUUUUCUGAAUAAUAUGGUAUUAAAUUAGGGUGACCAUAUCAAGCGAGUAAAAAACCAGGACAGUUCAAAGGGAACUACCUCCAUCCAUGCCCUCUUAAUCGAUUGUGCCUUCUCCCUAGAUUUUCGACAGCUAAAAAGUUCUAGGUACUGGCAGGCAGAGCUACGGCAGUAAAACAUUUCUGGGGUCAGGCAGGCACAGCUUAGCCAAAAAGUCUUUCAUGAGAAUUUUUCUUUUUUCUUCAGAUUUGCACAGACACAGUUUUUGUUUCAUACACGCAGCGAAAUUUCGGAUGGUUAAACCAACAAAACGCAUUUUUGAUUUCAAUCGGCAGCCCAUUCGAAACUUAUUGAUUGUUGAAUAUUCAUUAUUUUAUUAUUGAAUCAACAAUAUUAUUUUUAUUCCAACCAAAUUUUCUUUUCUAUUAAUAUUGUAUAGUAGUAAAUAAGCGUGUAUUUUUCAUCUGUCAGUGAACUACCAUAUAGCAAAGGCCCAUUUUAAUUGUCAAUUGUAAAUUUUCAUUGAAAAAAACUUUGCAGUCCAAUUAUGCAAACCAUUUGCCAGCAUAUACAAAACAAUUGCAGAGCCGGACACCGGCUAUACUCUCUGAACAAACGCAACAUGAUGAAAGUACAUCAUUGGCAAUUCAAAAUAUAGCAUGCUGAAAGUACAUCGAUGGCAACCCAAAGUGAAAACUAAAAAAGAUUUUUUAUUUUACUAUUUAUAAAAAUAUACAAAUAUAUCAAUA